AGCGAACGCUGGCGGCAGGCUUAACACAUGCAAGUCGAACGGAUCCUUCGGGAUUAGUGGCGGACGGGUGAGUAACACGUGGGAACGUGCCCUUAGGUUCGGAACAACACAGGGAAACUUGUGCUAAUACCGGAUGUGCCUCGUAAGAGGGAAAGAUUUAUCGCCUUUGGAGCGGCCCGCGUCUGAUUAGCUUGUUGGUGAGGUAAAGGCUCACCAAGGCUACGAUCAGUAGCUGGUCUGAGAGGAUGGCCAGCCACAUUGGGACUGAGACACGGCCCAAACUCCUACGGGAGGCAGCAGUGGGGAAUCUUGCGCAAUGGGGGAAACCCUGACGCAGCCAUGCCGCGUGGAUGAUGAAGGUCUUAGGAUUGUAAAAUCCUUUCAGCGGGGACGAUAAUGACGGUA
Molecule: ribosomal RNA, 405 nt
Filed under: uncultured bacterium
Lineage: Bacteria
Description: bacterial SSU rRNA
Rfam family: Bacterial small subunit ribosomal RNA
Source: RNAcentral